GAAUGCAAGGGUGACCUAGCUGUGACCCUCUACCCCAUUGAUUGCCCAAGCCCAUUAGACUGAUGUGGUGGCCUGGUGUCUUCUUUCUCUCUCACCUCAGCAUGUGAGAGGCUUCAAGUUGCCAGCUCAGACGACAGGAAUGACCUUCCUGAGAAAGAAGGACUUGUCCUAGCUAGGCCCAGGCAGUGCGAACACUGCUCAGUGAAGCCCCAAGAUGGGGCUUUGCCUG
RNAcentral lists this small RNA (229 nucleotides) under Castor canadensis (American beaver). RNAcentral describes it as "7SK RNA (ENSCCNG00000010127.1)". Lineage: Eukaryota; Metazoa; Chordata; Mammalia; Rodentia; Castoridae. The record is from RNAcentral.